ACCCAAUUCAAAGGGGAGUAGCGUUAGGGAAACCUAAAACAAAGUCGUCAUUACAUGGAUCGUAUCCAUCGGCUUUGUUGGCAUUUAUUGAUUUAAAAAUGCU
Molecule: small RNA, 103 nt
Filed under: Bacillus sp. (in: firmicutes)
Lineage: Bacteria; Bacillati; Bacillota; Bacilli; Caryophanales; Bacillaceae
Description: Bacillus sp. Manganese sequence
Rfam family: Manganese Mn2+ riboswitch aptamer (yybP-ykoY)
About the family: This RNA was originally discovered in E. coli during a large scale screen and was named SraF. The family was later found to exist upstream of related families of protein genes in many bacteria, including the the yybP and ykoK genes in B. subtilis. The specific functions of these proteins are unknown, but this structured RNA element may be involved in their genetic regulation as a riboswitch.
Source: RNAcentral